Molecule: transfer RNA, 61 nt
Filed under: Dipodomys ordii (Ord's kangaroo rat)
Lineage: Eukaryota; Metazoa; Chordata; Mammalia; Rodentia; Heteromyidae
Rfam family: tRNA
About the family: Transfer RNA (tRNA) molecules are approximately 80 nucleotides in length.
Source: Rfam by way of RNAcentral
GGAGAUGUAGCUCAGUGGUAGAGCGCUCACCUAGCAUGUGUGAGGCCCUGAGUCAUCCCCA